RNAcentral lists this long non-coding RNA (338 nucleotides) under Setaria viridis. Its description in RNAcentral is "long non-coding RNA (SVIR_LNC005358)". The record is from RNAcentral. Lineage: Eukaryota; Viridiplantae; Streptophyta; Magnoliopsida; Poales; Poaceae.
AUAGAUACGAACGAAUAGUUAUGGUUAAUAGGUACUAACUGAAUGAGUUACACAUAUAUUUUCUCGAAUAUUGAGUAAAAGCAACAAAUACAUAUGAUUAUCCGUUGCUUCACAGUUUGCAUUUUUAUAUUAAUUCAAAAUUAUUGAAAGAAAUUAUAACUCAAACUUCUCCCAAAUUUAAAGACAAAAGUUGGAAUAACUUAAGCAUUUACAUUUUUAUGGUUUAUUGAAAAAAUCCAUUUUACUAUCCUCACAAGUUCACUUUAUCCGGUUAAUCCAUGAACAAAAUUAAGGCUCAUUUCACUCCCUCCAAACUAUUUGAGUUGGUCCAAUCUACC